Molecule: non-coding RNA, 135 nt
Organism: Triticum aestivum (bread wheat)
Lineage: Eukaryota; Viridiplantae; Streptophyta; Magnoliopsida; Poales; Poaceae
Source: Rfam
GUAGUACUCCCUCCGUCCCAAAAUUCUUGUCUUACAUUUGUUUAGAUACGGAUGUAUCUAACACUAAAAUGUAACUAGAUACAUCCGUAUUUAGAAAAAUUUAAGACAAGAAUUUUGGGACGGAGGGAGUACAAA